Non-coding RNA from Phasianus colchicus (ring-necked pheasant), 5682 nucleotides. The record is from RefSeq and is a predicted model, not a curated record. Lineage: Eukaryota; Metazoa; Chordata; Aves; Galliformes; Phasianidae.
ACAGGGUGUAGGGUGGCCUUGGUUAUUACAAAUCCAAAUACAAACAUCUCUUUUUGUAACAGCUGGAAAGUUCUGUUUUAAAUGUGAGAUGUCCAUGCAGCCUUCAGUGUGAGUUCCUGUGGUAGCUGUAGCUCAAUGGUGCCAUUUCCUCCAUGAGCAGUCCCUCAGCUUCCUGCAGCGAGCAGACCUGCCUGUGCCCACAGGGAUUCCUUGUGUAGGGAUGGAUCUGGCAGGGCUGGGCCUUGGGUUUCCUUCUACACUUCUGUGCUUGCUCCUGACCAUUUGUUUUCCCUUUAGAUAUACCACUCAGCACUUCCGUGAAAGCGAUGUUAUCAAUAUGCAGACUCUGUAUCCUAGACUAAAUCUGUGCAAAAUGUUCUUGGUAAAAUUAUGUUGCUCCAAAUAGCAAAUUCUGCAAUUGGUACAUCAAAGCUGCAAGGAAAAAUGCUUUUAGAUGGCUUGCUCCUGUCCUAACACUUUUGAAACAUUUUUAGACAUGAUCUUUUCAAUGCUACACCAGGGGAUUUCCACUCCCUCGCUGAUUUAAAAUGCUCGUACUGUUGUUUUAACCACAAAGCUUACACUCGUGCACGCUCGCUCUCUCAUUUUCUCCUCGCUGAAGAUCGGCUACAGAUUUCAGCUGGGAGCAGGCAGAAGUGAAAGCACACCUCGGUGGUGGCGUGGGCCAGACCCUGGCGUAAGCAGGAAACUGAUGCAGUCAGCCAGCGGCAGGCGGGUGAGGUUAAUAUAGCCAAGAACUGACAUACAAUUAAGUAAAAUUUUGGAAAAAAUGAGAUUAUAGUCUACUGCUAUAAAUGAAUGAUCAUCUGGAAAUAGAAGGAUGACAAGAUAAGAGGCUUUGGGUCUUUUAACACCUAAACUGAAGAGCAGCUUCCAUGGCCUGUGACGAGCUCACUGGUGUCUCGGGCAUCUUUACGCGCCAGAACUCUGCUAGUGCUGUUUCUCUGGACUUCGAACCCGACACUGACUACAAGUUUGUGGAAACCUUAGAGGACCGGUACAAGUGUGCCUACUGCCACUUAGUCCUUCACAAUCCCCACCAGACAGGAUGUGGGCACCGUUUUUGCCAGCAGUGCAUUCUCGCUUUGCGAGGACUGAAUGCAGUACCUACAUGUCCUGUCGACAAAGAAACAAUAAAAAUGCACGAGGUAUUCAAAGACAACUGUUGUAAAAGAGAAGUUCUCAACUUGUAUGUGUUCUGCAAAAACUUCCCCGACUGCAAUUCAAAAAUAAUUCUGGGGCGGUAUCAGGAACAUCUUCAGCAGUGUUUGUUUGAAAGCGUGCAAUGCACUAAUGAUGAAUGUUGUGAUCAAAUCCUUCGGAAAGAUUUGAAAGAUCAUUUGAAUCAGCACUGUAAAUUUCGAGAAGAAAUGUGUCAGUACUGUAAUAAAUAUGUGGUGUUAAUUAACAUAAAGAAUCAUGAGGAAAAUGACUGUCCUGAUUAUCCCAUGCCUUGUGUCCAAAACUGUUCACAGAUAAUUCUGAAAAAGGAGAUUGAAAAGCAUCAUACUGUGUGUCCUGAGACUGAAGUGGACUGCCCAUAUAAACAGUAUGGCUGUCUUAUAAAGGUGAAAAGAGGGAAACUUGCUGAACAUGAAAAUGGUGCCCUGCGGGAACACAUGCUGCAGAUUUUAGACAAGAAUUCUAGAUUGGAAGAACAAAUAUCUGACCUGUACAAGAGCCUGGAAUUUAAAGAGAUUAAAAUCCAGCAGUUAGCAGAGGCUGUUAAAAAGUGUGAGAAAGAAUUCAGACAGUUUACACAACUGUUUGGUAAAAAUAGCAAUUUGAUGGUAAGCACACAGGCUCUUGCCAGUCAUCUGGAUAAGUCUGCACGACUGGAAUCGCAAGUAAAACAGCUAAUACAGAUGGCAAACCAGCAACAAAGUAAAUUAGACUUGAGACCCCUACUUGACACAAUUGAAAAUGUAAAACAGAAGAUUGCCCUUAUGGAGACAUAUGAUCAGCGCUUAGUUGUUUUGGAAAGUCAGUCCAGCAAACAUGAUCUCCAGAUCAAUAUUCAUAAAGCACAGCUCAAUAAAAACGAAGAACGAUUUAAGCUUUUGGAAGGCACAUGCUACAACGGGAAAUUAAUUUGGAAAAUCACAGACUACAAGAUGAAGAAAAAAGAAGCAAUGGAAGGUCGUGUCCUCUCCAUCUUCAGCCAGCCCUUCUACACCAGCCGCUGUGGGUACAGGUUGUGUGCCAGAGCCUAUCUGAAUGGGGACGGCUCAGGCAAAGGAACACAUGUCUCACUCUACUUUGUUGUCAUGAGAGGCGAGUUCGACUCACUGUUGCCAUGGCCCUUCAAGCAGAAAGUUACACUUAUGCUUUUGGAUCAAACUGGGAAAAAAAAUCACAUUGUAGAAGUCUUUAGAGCUGACCCUAAUAGCAGCAGUUUCAAAAGGCCUGAUGGAGAAAUGAAUAUUGCCUCUGGUUGUCCACGCUUUGUGCCACACACAGUUCUGGAGAACACAAAGAAUACCUAUGUCAGAGAUGACACUCUGUUUUUGAAAGUAGUUGUGGAUUUAACUGAUCUGGAGGAACUGUGAAGAAAAAAGUAUCCAAUCAGUGUGACUGCUUUAAUUUUUAUGAAAUGCCUUCUUGGUGAUUACUAGCCAUGCAAUAGUGAAUUGCCACCUGUCAGCUACUCAUGUGUUUCAAGGCUCUUGGACCAUGUGACAGAAAAUGAAUUGUUAAAACAUCAGCCUUUGUUUUUUUAACCUUUUUUCAAGCCUGUAGCUUCAAGGCAGCUGUAAGACCAGUCUGAUGUGAACACACAUUCAAUCCAGUGCUUUGACUUGGCUCAGUACGGGCUGGGUGUGAAUGCUUGGCUCACAUCACAGGACUAGUGACUUAGGAUGAAAAUUCUCCUAUAAGCCCUUGGGAGCCCAGGCAGGCCUGUGGGCUCCACUGCUCACACCAGUGCACAUUUCACUUGUCUAAAAUGGAAACAUCUCAAUAUUAGCUUGUUUGAAUCAAUGUAUCAUGAGCCCUCAAUCUCCUGGAUUUUUGAAGCAGUGAGAAAGGGGUUCAGACAGACACUUGUCAGGGAUCUUGCAUACUUUUUUUUGUUAAAGUAUUUUUUACCAGGGAUUCCAGAGCAAAAUACCAAUGCCUCUACUUUUCUAGCUUGAUAUUUCAGCUGUACAGAAGGUCACAAAAUGGCUGUGGUAACAUCGUUUUCAUUCCUGCCUAGUGCCUUGGGACUGAUUUCCACUGGUGAUCAACAUCCACAGUCCCCAGCUGAGGUCAAAAGUACCUGCAUGUCCUUCUCACCUCUCAGGAUAUGGCCAUAAGGUACUCAGCUGCCAGAUCUUGGAAGAAAGAGGACAAAAUUCUUCAAGUUUGUCCUUCCAGCUGCACUCCUUGGGCCAACCAGCUCUACAGGUGGCAGGAAGAGCUCUGGAUAUCUGUUUGGGAAAAACCUCAGAUAACAUGCACUGUUCUCCCUAGAAAUUUGGAAUUUUGGGAAUGAAGGGGGAAAUAGAUGAAGGAAUGAAAUUCCUGUUGCAACCCAGGUCUCACAAGUAGUGCAGUUUCAGCAUUUGUUAAAAGGAGUGAGAGCUGCAGAGCAAUUACUGAUAACUAUGAAAUACUUAGGAAGAUCUUCAUUUUUAUCCUAAGUUCUCUCUAUAUUGCAAGGGAACAAUUGCAUUUUAUGUGGUUUAUUGGAGACACACUAAGAAUGCCAAGAUCAGGCACCAAGCAACAAGAAGCAAAGAACACACGUGCCUUUUUAAAGUCUUUUGGGUGCUUGUAGGAUGGAUGUAAUUUUGCACACUCAGUCAUUUUGUUGUUAGAAGUGACAGAAUUUUGUGUCUCACUUCUUACAGAUCAGGUAGUGAAACAGCAAAAUACUGCAGCCCACUGACAAAAUAAAGCUAGAGCUUUUGAAAAGGAUGGCAUGAAAUCAAGCUGGAUUUAUAGUAAGAAUAAGCCAGGCAGAAUAAAAACCAAAAUGUGGCACAGACCCCAAGGUAUAAGAUAGAAAAUUCAAGAUGGCAGAUGUGGCAAAAUGGAAAAUGCCACUUCUGUGCAGAAUGAUAUAAAAUGAUUUGGUGACUGAUACUACGAUGAAGGCAAAAUACAACAUUUUACAUCUGGAAACUCAUUGUUAUAGGCAUUUACUUUUCCAGGCAGUUUCUAGAAUGUAAAUCAGACAAAUAUUUUCAAAUUUGGAGGUGGAGUGGGGGAGAAGCCUCAGCGAUCUGUACGUCACAGUAAGGUAGCACAUCUGGAAAUUUUUCAUCCAAAGUCCUUUUUGUUGCACCACGUCUGUCUAUGAUGGGCACAUAGGGGUUUUCAUAGUGACCAGACAUAUAGGUCAAAAUCGGAUAAAGGUUUGAUUUUGUUCUUUUGUAUCACCACCAUGACUGACUUUGCAGUCCUUUUUCUCCACGUAGAGGAGAGAAUUGGGCUUCAUGUCUUUAACACUUUUUGUUGCAGAAAGAGGAAGCUUGUUUGAAAGAUAUUGUGAUAUCGUGGGACAUUGAUUCUGAGCCUCUGAUGUGGACUUUGUAUUGAUUGAUACUUUCAAAGGAUAACAGAGUGGUGUCAGCUGCAGAUCCUUGGACUGUCCAGUGUGUGAAGUGUAAAAUGAAAGGCUAAAGACCCUGGAGAACUGAAGCAGGAUGAAGAGGAUGCGCUCUGUACCUGGAUGAAUAACAGACCUCUCUGCCUCCACACCCCAAGCAUAAAAUUGGGAUAAUAAUACUUGUGGAAAUGUUAGGACUAUUUAAAUGUUUGUGAAGAGUUUUGAGCAUGAAAAGAGCUAAGUAUUAUUAGAACUCCAUUUCUAUUUGUUGAGUUGGUGACGGCGUAGUGAUGUGGGUGUGUGUCAGUGUGUUGCCGGGCCAAUGCUGGAAGCGUGCUCAGCUUUAGGCAGGCUGUGCCUGUGUUGGCGUUACCUUUUUGCCAUGAAUGUUCCUUUUAAAAUUCUGAAGCACAAAUGAUUCACCCUGGGCGACAGAAAUGUCCCCGUGGGAGUACUGCCUGUUUUAUAAUGAAUUUAUUGAGAAAAUUACUUUUUUUCUAAGGCGAUCUUAUUUAAACUGGUUUCUUUUGUUACAAUAGUUGAGUUUUGUGUUAAGAUUCUCAGCGAUUUUUACUACUUGUGAACUGCAUUUUAAGUUUCAUCUCAAGGGUUAGGGAAAAACGUUGUCUAGCAUGAUUACUGGGGAAGGAUUUUGUCGUUGCAUGAUAAAUACCAAAAAACCUUUGAAUAACGUCGUACUGGGUAAACAACCACAAGCGUGUUGUACAUCAGCACACGGUGUAUUUUUAUGUAGUUACUGACCGUUUGUAACCGUUUGAGUAUCUCUUACUACAACGCAGGCAUUUUUCUAACCAAACGUCAGCACUGUAUACGCAAAAACAGGGUCAGAAUAAAUAACGUUACCAUCAUCGCAGAGUGCCGUGCAUCCCGUCGGCGGACAGGCGUUGCCAUGGGCGGUGCCGAGCGCGGUGCCGGGCGGGCCGUGACGCACAGCCGGGCCGGGGAGCGCCGCCUCCCGCCCCCGGUCGCCGCCAGCCCUUCCGGGUCAGCGCCGAGCCGCAGCCGGGCCCGCGCUGCCGCCGCGGCCGGCCCGGUAUGGACAGCCAGAAGGAUGAGAAAGGCAGGCUGCUCAGUGCCGCUUCCGCAGAGGACCUGAAAGUCCGAGG